AUCAGACCAGACUGGGAAUCCCCACUACAGAGGCCACAUUCUUCCUGUAACUUGAUAUCUCAAGAUGUGACUAAGUGGAGAAAUAAGUGAUAUAGCAUGGAACUCAGGGUCAGAGCAGAGCAACACAGACUGUGGAGUUAUCAACGACACAAACUCAAGGAGUUAAAAAUGGAAUAAUGGCCCUCCCUGGUGGCACAACG
Molecule: long non-coding RNA, 200 nt
Organism: Condylura cristata (star-nosed mole)
Lineage: Eukaryota; Metazoa; Chordata; Mammalia; Eulipotyphla; Talpidae
Exons: 3
Source: RefSeq, a predicted model, not a curated record